Small nucleolar RNA from Cavia aperea (Brazilian guinea pig), 136 nucleotides. NCBI's taxonomy places the organism in Eukaryota, Metazoa, Chordata, Mammalia, Rodentia, Caviidae. The record is from Ensembl.
UUGGCCUGUAUCAAGGCCGGCAGCUUCCUGACGUUGUUGGUUUCAAGCAGGAGCCUAAGGAGAUAUCUUUCUAUGGUCUGUUGGCCAUUUCAGAACUUGGACAGUGAAAUGGUCAAUUUACUAGAAAGAAACACCU